RNAcentral lists this long non-coding RNA (278 nucleotides) under Mytilus galloprovincialis (Mediterranean mussel). Lineage: Eukaryota; Metazoa; Mollusca; Bivalvia; Mytilida; Mytilidae. The record is from RNAcentral.
CGUGCUUCUGUAAGAUCAGAUCCUUGUUUAAUUCUCUAUCUUAACAUCCUUAAUAAAAGAGAACUAUUGUUGUUGAAGCAAGUAGAUGAUAAACAAUGUUAGUGAUCUACAUGUACAUGUUUAUUCUUACAGCCAAUUCCAUUGAGUUUGUAGGUAUAGGUAAUAUCAUGAAGUCAUUUUAAGAUUAGGUACUAAACUACUCUUCUUUAACAUGUUGAAGAGUAGACUAGUAACCAAUAUAUCUGUAUGUAGGACUACAUUUGUAUGUCACAUUGUAC